UAAAACAUUCUUAAGUCUGAGAAUGUUCUCAAGUCUGAGAAUAUUCUCAACUCCCCAAUUCUCAAACUCAGCCGCCGCCAUAAAAAAGUUGAGCAAAAUAAAAAUUCUCAAAUUCUGUUUUAUUCUCAAAUAUUUGAGUCUACAAAAAUGUAGACUUAAGAAUAUUCUCAAGCAAACAAAAUGGCUGCCGCUUACAGAAGAUUGCAUCGAAAUCGAAGACGACCUAAUGUUUUAGUUCGUCCGAUGGUUUUAAGAUAUAGAAGUAAUCCCUUGGAUCAAUCGGAGACGAUUGAGGAGUUCGAAAUCUAUCAUCGUGAUAGAUGUUGUCCCAACACCAUUAAUUUCAUCGUCAAUGGUGUUUAGGAUCAGCUGAUCACAGACACCAAGAGGGCUCCACUUCUGUAGGUCUUACUGUGUUUUUGCGUUUUGUUGCGACUGGGGCCCACCUUCGCCUGAUUGUGGACAGUCUCGGAAUUUCAGCGUCAUCUGUUGGAAGAUCCGUCAGAGCUGUUGCUGCCGCCAUCGUCGCUGUUUUUGCCAGAUCCCAAUUCAUCUUCCCUGUCGGUGAAGUGGCAACAAAAGUGAAGGAGGGUUUCAAAAGAGUUGCAGGGUUUCCUAAAAAGCUAGGAUGCAUUGAUGGAACUCAGAUGGUGUGCAGCUCCUCUUUUAGAGUAACUUCACUGUGUGCAAGUUGGCCUGGCUCAUGUCACGACUCCAGAAUUUGGAGAAAUUCCCAUCUUUGCCAACAGUUUAAAAAUGGAUUGCAUGAUGGGAUAUUGCUGGGAGAAUCCGGACACCCCCUUACACGACAUCUAAUGACACCAUACUUGACACCUUCGAAGCGGUCUGAGGAAAAGAUUAAUGCCAGUCUUUACCAAACCAGAGUGUUGAUCUAGCAGACUUUUGGAAUCAUGAAAAGACGAUUUCAGACUCUCCAGGUUGGGUUCAGGGUUUCCCCUCACCUGGCUGUGUAGUACAUUACAGCAUGUGACAUCUUACACAAUUUAGGAAUUGAAAGGGGUGACAUUUCUAUUCAGGAGAACUAUACAGACAUAAAUGUAGCUUAAUGCAUUCCGGUAAAUACUGUGGAACCAGGACAGGUCCGAAAUGAUAGUUUGCUCAAUAGAGCAGAGUGUUUUUCUAAAUGAAAUAUAAUAAAGAAUAUGGUUACAGAAUAAUUUGUUUUACCCUGAAUUUCUGUUGAAUGAUAACAAGUCACUGUCAGACACAGUAAAUUCAUUUCAAUUUUUUUCUAUCUCCAGUACAUGAAUUAAAC
This is a long non-coding RNA of Magallana angulata, 1276 nucleotides long. RefSeq lists it as uncharacterized. NCBI's taxonomy places the organism in Eukaryota, Metazoa, Mollusca, Bivalvia, Ostreida, Ostreidae. The record is from RefSeq and is a predicted model, not a curated record. The transcript has 4 exons.